GAGGUUGUCUGACAGGGGAGAUACCAUGAUCAUAAAGGUAGUUUUCUCAGGGUGAGGCUCAUCCAUUGCACUGCGGGUGUGCUGACCCCUGUGAUGUCCCCAAAUGCGGGAAACUCGACUGCAGAAUUCUUGUAAGAACAGGUGGGACAAACACCUGUC
Dermochelys coriacea (leatherback sea turtle) is the source of this 159-nucleotide small nuclear RNA. RefSeq annotates it as U1 spliceosomal RNA. The record is from RefSeq and is a predicted model, not a curated record. The transcript has a single exon. Lineage: Eukaryota; Metazoa; Chordata; Testudines; Dermochelyidae.